Lupinus angustifolius (narrow-leaved blue lupine) is the source of this 115-nucleotide small nucleolar RNA. It matches the Rfam family "small nucleolar RNA snoR127". The record is from Rfam. Lineage: Eukaryota; Viridiplantae; Streptophyta; Magnoliopsida; Fabales; Fabaceae.
CUGGAAUGAUGUGAUAUGACUUAGCCAAAUCAGAUAUUGACGUGCUCCAUUUUAUGUUGAAGUGUAUUUCUCUGUUGAUUAACUUUGAGAUUGGUUUUCUUAUUUUCUGACCAAA